RNAcentral lists this ribosomal RNA (483 nucleotides) under uncultured bacterium. RNAcentral describes it as "partial 16S ribosomal RNA". It matches the Rfam family "Bacterial small subunit ribosomal RNA", at positions 28 to 507 of the family's 1533-position model. The record is from RNAcentral.
GACGAACGCUGGCGGCGUGCUUAACACAUGCAAGUCGAACGCUGAAGCUCAGCUUUUGUUGGGUGGAUGAGUGGCGAACGGGUGAGUAACACGUGAGUAACCUGCCUCCUUCUUUGGGAUAACGCCCGGAAACGGGUGCUAAUACUGGAUAUUCACUGGUCUUCGCAUGGGGGUUGGUGGAAAGGGUUUUUCUGGUGGGGGAUGGGCUCGCGGCCUAUCAGCUUGUUGGUGGGGUGAUGGCCUACCAAGGCUUUGACGGGUAGCCGGCCUGAGAGGGUGACCGGUCACAUUGGGACUGAGAUACGGCCCAGACUCCUACGGGAGGCAGCAGUGGGGAAUAUUGCACAAUGGGCGCAAGCCUGAUGCAGCGACGCCGCGUGAGGGAUGGAGGCCUUCGGGCUGUGAACCUCUUUCGCUCAUGGUCAAGCCGCAACAAUGGUUGUGGUGAGGGUAGUGGGUAAAGAAGCGCCGGCUAACUACGUG